AAAAUAUGUUUACAUUCCCAACUUUAUUUUUCAUGUUCACAUUUUUUUAAUAUUUUUGAAUUCAAUAAUUAUAGCGUGAAAUUGACCCCAUACACUUGUCCCUCAAAUAUAACGUUACAGAAUAUUAGCAUAGAUGUGACAUCAGUCAAAACGCCUCAAAACAAGACAUGGUAUCAAGAACUAGGUAAAACGAGCCACCUACAGAUUCCCCACGUGGCAGGUUCUUGACAUUUUUGCUAGCUAUCUGACCAUCCAGAAUCACAACACACUGUCUUCUGCCCCAUUGAAGCGUGCGCAUCGUUUUCGUGACGUCAGCUAACCCGUCUAUAGAUAAGCCCUGACAAUUUUAUUUUUUUACAGUCACAUUUUCUAGCUAAAUAUUUUACUAAAAUUGGACUGCAAAGACUGCCACAAAAUUAUCUGCCAGAUAUAUCAUAUUAUACCUCUGCAACUGUCAUAACCAAUAUGCUUGGUUGCAUUCAAGUUAUGCAUGCACAUCUGACAAUAAAAGGCUACAUUUAUACUGGCAGCCCAAUUCAGUAUUUAUUUCUCGCUAAUUGGUCUUUUGACCAAUCACAUCAGAUCCUUUCACAGAUCUUUUUCAGAGCUAAUCUGAUUGGUCAAAAGACCAAUUAGUGAAAAACAAGAUCACCAACAAGAAUUGGCUGCCUGUCUAAACACAGCCUAAGUACAAUGACCCUUAUGCACCAUGGACCAAUGUACUGUGUAAAGAGAUAGACUGGAUACCCUGGACUGGAUACCCUGGAGUGGUGAGUAGGACAGGAGACUGUAAAUCUGAAUUCUCCUAGCCAGUCCAUUGGAGUUUGUGGGCUUCCUGGGAUUACAUUAUGGAGUGUAGCUCCCAAGUCUUUAAAAUAAGAUUAAAAAGUGAAAACUUGUAUUUUUCCUCUCAAGGGACCAGGCCUAAGGAUUUUUUGGAAGCUGUCUUUGCUGCAUUUCUCUAAGUGAGAUUUCUAGAUGAGUUUUAAAGCUGGUGUUUCAAUGGGAUAUUUACAAUAUAACGGGAGUAAUCACAACAGCAUACAUUUACAACACAAUCUAAAGUUACAGAUGAAAUACUGUAUGCCGUGUCAUAAAUGUUUUAUUUUCUCCAUGCGUUUUACCAUUAUGGUUUACCAUUGCUACAAUAUACCACUUGUUGUUGUUGGUCAUGGAUGUUAUAUUGGGGGACAUUAUUGUAUACUGCAUUAACUGCCAACAUUGCACAUAUUCUCUAAUACAAACCGACAAUAGCAACAACCUUGUCACGUAGUCUUUGACACAUUUGUUUCUUUCGAGCAUUUUUUACUUUUACUAAUACUGACCAAAUAGUGGCUUUAACAUUAAACAGAAUAAAAUUGUGAGAGGUUAGCAAACAUAUAGAGUAUGGCAACAUGAUCAGCCUGAAGGCACUUUAUGAUGCUUGUUUAUUUUCUAUUGAAGAUCAGAAUGUAGUGUAAAGCCCUGCCUCUAUUCUACUCCUCAAGCUAAUCAUACAGUCUGAUGAUGUUUUGAACAUGUCAGGUAUUGUUAGGGUGAGGAGUUUUCCUGAUCUGGACAACUCAUCAGGUUGUGUGGUCAAGAAAAACUCUCGGCCCUAACUUUAUGAAAACCUGUAUUCCUUGUUUCUAACAAGUCUUGAUUCAGCAUUAUGAGUGUUAUUUGAGGCAGUUCAAAAUAGUGUUUGAACCAUCACCACACAGCAGUGCUUCUCAACUCCAGUCGUCCAAUAACCCCAACAGCAAAGAUUUUUGUUGUAGCCCUGGACAAGCACACAGAUUCCAAUGGUUAACUAAUCAUCAAGCCCUCAAUGAGCUGAAUCAGGUGAGUUUGUCCGGGCCAACAACAAAAUGGUGUGCUGUUGGGGGUACUCGAGGACUGGAGUUGGGAAACACUGCUAUACACUACUCCUAGGCCAGUGCAACCCAGUGCUAUGAAUCCAAUGAUAGCACUGUGGGUUUAUCAAGGAAUGAUUGUCUAUGAACUGACUGACACAAAUCAAACAAAGUUAGUUGCCUAUUAAUAAAGACAACAAAAAAAUGUAAUGAUGCUUUCAGGGGCAUCACAGCUUACUGCAUUUCACUUUCAAAGCUAACACUUCACUGAACAAAACAGCUCAAACUAGUCUCUACAAAUAAUCACUUAUACAUCAUGCUCACUGUUUGGUCAUUCAAGGAACAAAUAUGAAUGGCUACUGGGGGCAGCUUUUAGUUUUAUAAUAUAUAAUUCAGUUCUGCUUUGAAUUAAGCAUCAAGAUGUGAGAAACAAUUGAAAUGUGGUCGUUCUUGCACUAUACUGUAAGUCUGUCAUAGGGCAAGGUGCACUCCUGGACUGUCCAAGAUGUGAGUCUGUCAUAGGGCAAGGUGCACUCCUGGACUGUCCAAGAUGUGAGUCUGUCAUAGGGCAAGGUGCACUCCUGGACUGUCCAAGAUGUGAUGUAAUACCAGUUAGUCAUAAUGGGAGCUCUGGAGAGGACCAUGCCUCGCCACUCAUUCUUCUCUCCAUCCUCCUUCUCAAAAAGGUGCUCCACCGCUUUGCCUACCAAAUCCUCUGCCCCGUGAGGAACCUUGAUCUUGUUGUUGACUGAGGAAGCAGAUAAGUGUCGUCAAGGCAGAGACCAACAUCGCAUAACCACUGUGUCCCUGCUGUCUGAUCAUGCAGUAGCAGAU
Molecule: long non-coding RNA, 2669 nt
Filed under: Salmo salar (Atlantic salmon)
Lineage: Eukaryota; Metazoa; Chordata; Actinopteri; Salmoniformes; Salmonidae
Description: lncRNA (ENSSSAG00000111673.1)
Source: RNAcentral